RNAcentral lists this transfer RNA (79 nucleotides) under Terriglobia bacterium. Its description in RNAcentral is "tRNA-Arg". It matches the Rfam family "tRNA". From Rfam's summary of the family: Transfer RNA (tRNA) molecules are approximately 80 nucleotides in length. Their secondary structure includes four short double-helical elements and three loops (D, anti-codon, and T loops). Lineage: Bacteria; Pseudomonadati; Acidobacteriota; Terriglobia. The record is from RNAcentral.
GCGCCCGUAGCUCAGGUGGAUUCAGAGCGCUCGGCUACGAACCGAGAGGGCGGGAGUUCGAGUCUUCCCGGGCGCGCCA